RNAcentral lists this long non-coding RNA (2941 nucleotides) under Lingula anatina. RNAcentral describes it as "uncharacterized LOC106179057". Lineage: Eukaryota; Metazoa; Brachiopoda; Lingulata; Lingulida; Lingulidae. The record is from RNAcentral.
GCGGCGCGAUGAAAAAUGCGUACGUCUGAAAUUAAUAAACUUUGCGAAAAAACUACAGUGAAUUGACUUUCCAUAUUUUAGAGACUAAACGACGAGUUAUCCGUCUAUUGAAAAACUGUAAGCUUUUGUCAAUGCACUGUACAGAGUUACAGUUAUUUUUCUCCGAAUCCAGAAAACUGAAAAUUUUACGUGUCCGAAAAUGCUUUUGUAUAGCGAGGGACUAUAUUGCGAGGAAAUUGUUUCCAAGUACGAAAUUGGCUUAAAAUUAAUAAAAUGGUCGAAUAUAUAUCCAGGUUUUCGAUUUUGAAGGGAAUUUCCCGCACACUCUCUGGUUAAGAAGUCUCGAUAGAAAAUCUGAAAAGUUGUGAAAAAACAGAGCAAAAUUUCUCCCCUGAGGCACCUCCGAUAAGAGUGCACAUCUCAUUCAUUUCCCGAACUUAAAAUUACGUUUAUUCAUCCAAAAAAGUUUGUGACUAACCUCAAUUUUCACGCAAAGCAAUGAUGUUCCAUAACUUGCUACGACAGCAUUUUUUUGACCUUGAACUGUGGAAGUUCAAAAAAGUCAUGUGAUACAAAUCAUGUGACGCGCAGAUUUGGGUGCUAAAAUGCACUUUUAUAGACCCAUAUUAAGUCAAAUAUAAAUUUAAGAAACAGAAUAAACAUUCCUUUUAUCAAAGACCAAAAACUUAAUACAAAUUUAGUAAAUUUACCGAAAUCCCGCCCACUAAACGAGAGGUAAACUGAGGUGCUUUCCAACGAAACCCCACUAUUUACCACGAGGCAGAGACAGGUGAAGUAGGUUGUGCGGCAAGUUAUGAUUUUUAUCCUUGCUGAAAUAUGGAACCCACAUAUUUAUAGCAUGUCAGAGACUCAUUAUCAGGCUGAUAAAAAUUUAAAAACUUUCUAACAUCGAUGUAAGGAAAAAGAUGUUUGGAUAUACAUGCAGAAUGGUAGAAGUAUUUAUGUAAUAUGAGCUUUUUUCAUGAUCAGUUAACACUCAUUUUCAGUAUAAAGAUCCAUUUGAAAGUGUAGGGUUUAUUUUAUAAAUCAUGGAAAAUUUUAAUAUCCAUGACUUGCUAGUACAGGUAUGAAAAUGAAAGUUGAGACAUUUAUACACCAUACUCGCUUACUGUUGAAGUUGUAGAUUUUUUACUAAAGUUAAAAUGAAGUACAUCUAUUGGAGAAUGUUAUAUGGUUCUAAGAUCAACAGUGAUAAAGGUUUAAAAUAUAAUCCAUUUAUGUUUUCUGUAUGAAAAAAGAUAAAGCCAGUAAUUAUUAUUUUAUUAUGUGAGUUCCUAGACUUCUGUUAGUUAAUUACCACUUCGACAUAUCUUCCGUCCCUCGCUCAUUGUUAGUCAAUUUUUUAAAUGUUAAAUGGACCUAUAUAUUGAACAGAUUGUUUUUAUUUUUAGUUGCAUGGAUAUUGUAAAUUCUGAAUUUGUUCUGAUUUUCUUUCCCAGAUAAAAGAAGAACAGUUAUUUCAGAUAUUACAGAAUCUCUGCCAGGCUUUUAAGUGCCCUGAAAAGUGAUCACAACGAUAUGCUGCAUCAUUAUCAUGCAUUCCUAUUAGUCAUAUUAAAAAAACUGUCACCAAGCCCUUAGUGAAAAUUAGUAUUCUUUGGCAGCACUUACAUUUUUUGAAACAUAAAAAUUGAAUUUUUAAAAAGAAAUAAUGACUUCGGUGGUAUUUCUUUAAGAUAAUUGGAUGGCAGUGUUGCAAACAAGUGUUAUUAUGGACACUUUUUUUCUAAUUGGACUCCCAGGAGCCAGACUGAUUUUCACAUUCAAACAAGAAUUUAAAAAGAAAAAAAUGUCAGAAUAGUAAAAGAGGUAUUUUGAAUAUAUUUACAGUCCACAUCCAUUUAUAUCCAGUAUAUAAUGCCUGGUGUUCACAUAUACAGGUACAGCCCUUUUAGGAAGCAAGUUACAUAUUUCCAUAUUUUAAUAUCAGAUAUCAAAUACAAGCAUAUGGAACUGUUUUGAAUAAAGACAUAAAUUGUCCUUGGUGAUCAGCAUAUUUUUCUCUUAUUUUAAGUCUUAAAAGGAUAGCUUAUGUAUUUUGAGAUAAUGCAUUUGAAGACGGAACAUGUAUGAAAAUUUCUUCAGCAAAAAAUAAAUAAAAAAAUAGGAAAGUCAUUAAGUUCAACCAAGUGCAAUGAAAGUGAAAAUUUUAUAUUAAUUUUGGAAAUAUUUUUUGUUUUUAUUUAUGUAUUUUUUACAUUUUUACACACUUUGUAUAACUAAAUACUUUGUGUAUUCUUACUAGCGACCAUGCAUAUGGACUUCCUGUGCAUGUAUACUUGUACCAUUGUUUUGAAAAUAAAAUUAUAUCCUGUUGUUUUUUUACCCUCUGUUUUUUAUUGAUUCUCCUGGAGUAAAUGACAAUUUCCCCCUUCUUACCAAUAGUUACUGGGGUACUGAAUCAGUUUUGACAUUCAAAAUUAGUCUGUAUUGUAAUUUUUUAAUAUAUUUUAAUAUUUCAAAAGAUUAUUACAGAGUACAGCCAUCAUGUGAUUGGAUGGCAAGAACAGUUUCCAAAUUAAUUGUGAAAACCACCAUUUUGGUUGUAAAAUGGAAUAUAUAUUGUAUUCCUAUGGGUUCUUUACACUAUUUAUUCUUAAAUGUGAAUCUCAUAAAAACAGUUGUUAACCCUUUAAAAUAUUCAUUUAAGAAACGAUGAAUUUGUCUGUGCAAAAUAAAGAAAAACAACUUUGUUUUAUUUUAAACUUAAGUUUUGGACUCAGAAAUGUUCUAUUACCUACAUAAUUUCAUAAGUAACAUUGAAACAUGCAAGGUACAUGUACUGGUAGUAGGGCAUAGAAAAAGAAGGUGCAACAAUAUUAAAUUUACAAGUUAGAUAUAAAACUGACACGCAUUGUUUGACUAUCAAUUGAAAACUGUAAUAAUAUCCAAAAUAACCGGUGAUAAUCGCCAAAAUAAA